UCGGGAAUAUUGCGCAAUGGAGGAAACUCUGACGCAGUGACGCCGCGUAUGGGAAGAAGGUUUUCGGAUUGUAAACCAUUUUAGACAGGGAAGAAGAAGUGACAGUACCCGUAAAAUAAGCUCCGGCUAACUACGUGCCAGCAGCCGCGGUAAUACGUAGGGAGCAAGCGUUAUCCGGAAUUAUUGGGUGUAAAGGGUGCGUAGACGGGAUAAUAAGUUAGUUGUGAAAUCCCACGGCCCAACCGUGGAACUGCCUUUGAAACUGGCAGACUUGAGUGUCGGAGAGGGUGGCGGAAUUCCAGGUGUAGGAGUGAAAUCCGUAGAUAUCUGGAGGAACACCGGUGGCGAAGGCGGCCACCUGGACGAUAACUGACGCUGAGGUGCGAAAGCGUGGGUAGCAAACA
Molecule: ribosomal RNA, 404 nt
Filed under: uncultured bacterium
Lineage: Bacteria
Description: bacterial SSU rRNA
Rfam family: Bacterial small subunit ribosomal RNA
Source: RNAcentral